Molecule: unclassified non-coding RNA, 1716 nt
Filed under: Leishmania donovani
Lineage: Eukaryota; Euglenozoa; Kinetoplastea; Trypanosomatida; Trypanosomatidae
Description: gene:LdHU3.26.2090(CDS-product:sphingolipid_delta _4_desaturase_putative)
Source: RNAcentral
CUUCCAUAAGGUGUAAUUUUAUUUUUAUUUUCCUCUGUCAAACAACUCGUUGACUUUUCAAGUAUCUUCUCUGCAUCACAGCACACUUGUCGAGGACAUCCGCAAAGAUUGAACACACCAAAUGGCGACAAUGUUUGCGAAGCGCGGCCGCGCCGACUACUACUGGUCUGACACGGAGUAUACGCACAGAACGCGGAACCGUGAGAUGCUGAAGGCACAUGGAGCAGAGAUCAAAAAGCUGUACGGCCCGGACCCGUGGCUUCGGUAUCUAAUGACACCGUUUGUUCUGCUCCAGAUUUAUCUUGGGUACCGUGCGAAGGACAUGGGGUGGCCCACUCUUCUUCUCGUCGGAUAUUUCGUGGGUGGAACAAUUACGCACAGCUGUUUCUUGGCAAUUCACGAGGCCACGCAUGGCCUCUGCUUCAUCACGCCGCUCUACAACGACCUUUACGCACUGUUCGUGAAUCUGGUGGUGCCCGUGCCAUAUGCGAUGAUGUUCAAGACUUACCACGCUGAGCAUCACCGCUACUUGGGCUGGGACGGCAUUGACUCUGAUGUGCCCACGCGGUUCGAGGGAAGGUAUCUAUCAAGCUACGCUGGCAAGUUUUUCUUUCUCACGUUUCAGGUGCUGUUCUACGCUCUCAGGCCCACUGUUGUGCGGACGAUCAAGUUUGAGAAGCUGCAUGUGAUGAACUACGUUGUGCAGCUGAUGUUCAACCUGCUCGUGUACUACUUCUGGGGCUGGUGGCCACUGCUGUACUUCCUUCUCUGUACUUUUCUAGGCACCAGUUGGCACCCACUCGCUGGUCACUUCAUCUCAGAGCAUUUUGUGCUCACGGGCAACGGUGGGCAAGAGACAUUCUCGUACUACGGCCCGCUGAACUGGCUAAUGUGGAAUGUCGGCUAUCAUGUUGAGCACCACGACUUUCCAAACAUUCCAUGGACACGAAUAGGGAAGCUGAAUACUAUUGCACCGGAGUUCUACGUUGAUCUGCACCGUACCAAGUCGUGGCCCGGGACUCUGUUCGACUUCCUACUAGACCCGAACGUGAGCCUCUGCAGCCGUGUUGUGCGCGAGCGCGGCUCUGCCGGACGUGAGAAGCUACUGCCGACAUCGACGGGUCGCAUGAAGGCGGCGGAGCCACACCAGGGUCCGUGCUUGUGGAAAAAGGACGGCUGAAGUGAUUUGUUUGUCGUUAAUCUUAUAUCUUGCUACUCUAUAGUAUGAGUGCCUAACGAUUCACUGUCUUCAGAUAGGUGUGCGCAAUGAUGUAAUUUACCUGUUUAAAGCCACGUAGCUGCGCAACAGUUUUUUUUCUUCGCGUAGCCCACUGCGUUAGUUUCACCUUUUACCUUUUCAAGCAGCCGAGUUGCAGUUGUUCUGCUGUGCUUAUUCGGUCUGAUUUGUAAUGAGAGAAAAGGAGUGUGCUUUGGACGAAAUUGAAAGGAGCUCUAGGUUAUAUUAGCUUUUGAUUCCUUGGAGCAGUACAGCGUCCAUUGCUUUGUCAGGGGAGAGUAUAUAUUUUUUCCUUUUUGUGAUCUUACUUUUGAUGGAUGUUUUCGAGUUUACUUCUGGUUUCGCGCUUUGACAGCUGAAAUGUAGUUGGGGGAGAGGAAAGCCGACUCAGUGCUUAAAAUAAAGGUAUUAGAGCACUAACGAAACCGCCUUGCACACCUCUGAUUUUAGCCAAGUGGACGAGAAAGUCCACAAAGUCG